RNAcentral lists this ribosomal RNA (509 nucleotides) under Beauveria bassiana. RNAcentral describes it as "eukaryotic LSU rRNA". The stretch from base 143 to 296 matches the Rfam family "5.8S ribosomal RNA". The record is from RNAcentral. Lineage: Eukaryota; Fungi; Ascomycota; Sordariomycetes; Hypocreales; Cordycipitaceae.
ACCCUUCUGUGACCUACCUAUCGUUGCUUCGGCGGACUCGCCCCAGCCCGGACGCGGACUGGACCAGCGGCCCGCCGGGGACCUCAAACUCUUGUAUUCCAGCAUCUUCUGAAUACGCCGCAAGGCAAAACAAAUGAAUCAAAACUUUCAACAACGGAUCUCUUGGCUCUGGCAUCGAUGAAGAACGCAGCGAAACGCGAUAAGUAAUGUGAAUUGCAGAAUCCAGUGAAUCAUCGAAUCUUUGAACGCACAUUGCGCCCGCCAGCAUUCUGGCGGGCAUGCCUGUUCGAGCGUCAUUUCAACCCUCGACCUCCCCUUGGGGAGGUCGGCGUUGGGGACCGGCAGCACACCGCCGGCCCUGAAAUGGAGUGGCGGCCCGUCCGCGGCGACCUCUGCGCAGUAAUACAGCUCGCACCGGGACCCCGACGCGGCCACGCCGUAAAACACCCAACUUCUGAACGUUGACCUCGAAUCAGGUAGGACUACCCGCUGAACUUAAGCAUAUCAUA